Marchantia polymorpha subsp. polymorpha is the source of this 46-nucleotide non-coding RNA. NCBI's taxonomy places the organism in Eukaryota, Viridiplantae, Streptophyta, Marchantiopsida, Marchantiales, Marchantiaceae. The record is from Rfam.
AAAAAGGUUUUUCUAAAAACCCCGUAAUUAUUUAUUGGCAUGAAGU